UUAAGUGUUGGGGGUGCGGCUGGGGUGUUUAGUGUUCCUAGUGGUCUGUCUGGUUAUGUGGGGAUUGAAUUGUAUAGUUGGAGUUGACUUCUGAGGUCGUUCUGAGGGCUAUGUAGUAAUCCUCCCUCCAAAUGUGUCCCUUUCACAGUCUGGCCAGUGUUCCGUUNCAAGCGGNNGGAANCCCGNGANGNUCANNNAUUCCCAANAANCCGGUCCCGGUUGGGAGGGAAGNGUNAAACUCGCCUCCAUGAAGGCGGAGUUGNUAGUAAUCGCGUAUCAGCAACGCCGCGGUGAAUAUGUUCCCGGGCCUUGUACACACCGCCCGUCACACCACGAAAGUCGGCAAUACCCGAAGCCGGUGGCCUAACCCGCAAGGGAGGGAGCCGUCGAAGGUAGGGUCGAUGAUUGGGGUGAAGUCGUAACAAGGUAG
Molecule: ribosomal RNA, 430 nt
Filed under: uncultured Actinomycetes bacterium
Lineage: Bacteria; Bacillati; Actinomycetota; Actinomycetes
Description: uncultured actinobacterium partial 16S ribosomal RNA
Rfam family: Bacterial small subunit ribosomal RNA
Source: RNAcentral